Molecule: long non-coding RNA, 2221 nt
Organism: Patella vulgata (common limpet)
Lineage: Eukaryota; Metazoa; Mollusca; Gastropoda; Patellidae
Exons: 8
Source: RefSeq, a predicted model, not a curated record
UAGUGAUAGUAGCGUCUGCUGAGACGUGCAAAUGGUUUGCCGUCUUGGGAUUUUAAAUUUUUCUAACAAAACACCUACUUAGUGGCAACAUCACUUUCGUUUAAGCCAUGUGCAAAAUUUAAUUCUUAAACAUGCAAUUUUGAUCAUAUAAGGGAUGUUUUGUUCUAUGUAACAUUCUGCAAAUAUUUCUUAAAGAAAUGAUUGUUUCAACAUUUGUUUUGUAUCAAAACAAAAUAUUUUCUUAGGUGUAAGCUUUAAGAAGAAAGUAUAUGGGGUUCAUUAACAUAAUUUGGCUGUAGUUUAUAAAGGAUAUGUUGAUAUAGUGAUAUGUGUUUUACAAUAAUAAGAAAGAAAAUAUGUCUUUGAAGAAGGACUAGGAUUUGAAAGGACUUUUAAAGGUUAUACAAAGAUCUAUUGAAAGACGGAUAUUGUAACUAAUAGUUUAAUUGAGAAAAUACAAAAGUUGCCCUGCCGGAAAAGUUACAAAACCGAGAAACUUGGUGAAAAGUGUAUUACUGAUUAUGGUUACAAAUUACCAGUUUUCAUUAAUUAUGUCACAUGAUUCAUCAAAUUCGUUAAAACAUUAAUAAUUAGAAUUAAUCGAACGGGAGAAAGUACCCUUCCUUGUGUUAGCCCAGUGUUAUAGUCAUAAAUUGACAAAAAGAUUGGAUAAUAAAUUGGAUAAAAGUUCAUCUGUAAUUUAAAUGUAUGAAUAUAGAAAAUAAUAUCGAUAACUGAAAGAAAGGCUGAUAACUUGAAAUUAUUUGGAUGGAAUAUUUUUUUUAAUGUUUUCUCCCAUAUCAGUGUAAUGAAGAUCAGAGAAUGAGAUAUUCGUCUAUGUUUUCUUAAUAGCAUUGGAAUUACUAAACUGGAUUGUUUAUUUGGACAUUCCAAGGACAUCUUGUUUUAAAUAAAUAAUGUUUGAUUAUUUAACAUACCAAACAUAGUUAUAUCCACCACUCGUCAUCAGAAACACCAAUGCGAUGGCCUCACUGCAGUGUCCCAUGUUAACCUCGUCCAAUGUUCAGCCCACCAUAUUAACUGCCGAUACAAUCAAAGAACUUCGGCUAUCAACCUACAAAAGGCUUCCUGGAACAGUCGUCAAAUUAAGUUGUUAUGGUAAUUAUACUCUAAUAGGAACUGAUCAGAUAGUUUGUUCCCAGGAUGGAGAGUGGAAUUACUAUACCAAACCCUACUGUAAUUUAAUACACACCGGUCAACUAUCAGAUUUACAUAAAUUAUUAUUAGGAGUUGGAGUAGGUACUGCCAUCUUGUGUGUAAUAGUUUUAAUGGCCAUUAUUGGUGCUUUACUCUACAGAUCAAAGAAACGAAAACAGCGCGCUAGAAGUUUUAGGCAUCCAUCUACCGUCACACUGGCAUAUUCAGAUUUCGACGGCUAUCGUCCAUUUGGUAUUAUAUCGCCAUUUGCGUAUGAAGAUCGAGAGUUUUUCCCUGAUGGCAAACCAAUGGAAAAAAUUAAAACUGCACAUGCACCACUCGCCAUUCGAAAUGGUACAUCUCAGAGAACAACUCAAGGUCCCCGCCCUCUUAGUCCAAAAGUUACAAUAAGCGAAAGCCUUCCAGAAUUUAGAAGUAGGUCCCGCUCCGUCGAUGGAGUCAUCAUGGCAGUUCCUAUCACCACUGAUGCAAGGGAGUUAGAAAGAUUGUAUUCCACUACAUUACCCAAUAAAGCCAAAAAACAAAAUUCAAGUUAUUCAGGUGAAUGGAAAGACAGAGAUGAUUAUAAACGAAUGGAUUAUUUUAACGGGCAUGCUCUUGCUCAAGGCCAUGACCCCUUUCUUUGGAGACCUGGAUCUACGAGAUGGAUAUAUGAACACAACGAACGGGUAUAAAAAUGGAUGAGCAAAUCUGUAUAUGAAACGACUGAACAUUUUCUUUCGUAUAUAUUGAAGUAAAUAAUUUGUACAAUAUUUUGUAACUAUACUGAAUAGUUUAUGCAUAGUAUCAUAAUAAAGUUCGUAAACGGUGAUAGAAAAUUGUAUGCGGGGGUGGUUGUGAUGGGACGACAGGUCGUUCAAUCUAAAAACAAGAAUUAUUGUACCUCAUAUAGCACUAGCAGUCAUGUUGUUUUAAGGCUUGUGUUGAUAAAUAAAAUGGGGACACAAUGUGUAAUUGGUAUGUCAGUGGUGUAAUACAGAGUUCGAUAUUUAGCCACUUUGUUUUUAUAGAGUUUUAAUAAAAUUAGAACAAUCGAUUGAAA